AGUUUGAUCAUGGCUCAGAUUGAACGCUGGCGGCAGGCCUAACACAUGCAAGUCGAGCGACAGCACAAGUAAGUUUACUUAUGAGGUGGCGAGCGGCGGACGGGUGAGUAAUGCCUAGGGAUCUGCCCAGUCGAGGGGGAUAACAGUUGGAAACGACUGCUAAUACCGCAUACGCCCUACGGGGGAAAGAGGGGGACCUUCGGGCCUCUCGCGAUUGGAUGAACCUAGGUGGGAUUAGCUAGUUGGUGAGGUAAUGGCUCACCAAGGCGACGAUCCCUAGCUGUUCUGAGAGGAUGAUCAGCCACACUGGGACUGAGACACGGCCCAGACUCCUACGGGAGGCAGCAGUGGGGAAUAUUGCACAAUGGGGGAAACCCUGAUGCAGCCAUGCCGCGUGUGUGAAGAAGGCCUUCGGGUUGUAAAGCACUUUCAGUAGGGAGGAAAGGGUGAGUCUUAAUACGGCUCAUCUGUGACGUUACCUACAGAAGAAGGACCGGCUAACUCCGUGCCAGCAGCCGCGGUAAUACGGAGGGUCCGAGCGUUAAUCGGAAUUACUGGGCGUACAGCGUGCGCA
RNAcentral lists this ribosomal RNA (574 nucleotides) under uncultured bacterium. RNAcentral describes it as "bacterial SSU rRNA". It matches the Rfam family "Bacterial small subunit ribosomal RNA", at positions 10 to 573 of the family's 1533-position model. The record is from RNAcentral.